UCCAAGCAGCAGGUGACUAGGU
RNAcentral lists this non-coding RNA (22 nucleotides) under Arabidopsis thaliana (thale cress). Lineage: Eukaryota; Viridiplantae; Streptophyta; Magnoliopsida; Brassicales; Brassicaceae. The record is from RNAcentral.